UGGUGGAGUAGCUUGUGCGGUUCCAAGCUCAUCUUCUUCCGCCAAUCCUUUCGGUGCUCUAGCCAACGCUCUUAUCGGCUCUUCUUCCAAGACGUAGGAAAGGUUGAAGGUUGUCUUACCUUCAAACCCUCAUCUCUCCUCUGUUCUCUCCCUUCUUCCCUCUCUCUACCUUCAAAGUAAACCAAACAGUCUCAGAGCCAUGGACCAACACAAGACCGACGACAAUCUCCGUUA
Molecule: non-coding RNA, 234 nt
Organism: Prunus avium (sweet cherry)
Lineage: Eukaryota; Viridiplantae; Streptophyta; Magnoliopsida; Rosales; Rosaceae
Source: RefSeq, a predicted model, not a curated record